CCAAAAACAUCGCCUCUUGCAUCUCAUAAGAGGUCCAGCCUGCCCAGUGACUCUGUUCAACGGCCGCGGUAUCCUAACCGUGCGAAGGUAGCGUAAUCACUUGUUCUUUAAUUGUGGACUAGUAUGAAUGGCACCACGAGGGUUAUACGUCUCCUUUUUCUAAUCAGUGAAACUAAUCUCUCCGUGAAGAAGCGGAGAUGAAGUUAUAAGACGAGAAGACCCUAUGGAGCUUUAAACAACUAUAGCAAUUAUCACAUUACACAGAUUUUUUCUGAAUCAAUUAAUUCUUAAGGUAGUAUGACUAUACGUUUUUGGUUGGGGUGACCGCGGAGCAAAAUUUAACCUCCAUGUUGAAUGACUAAACUUCUAAGCUGAGACCUACAUGUCUAAGCAUCAACACACUGACACUUAUUGACCCAAUAUACUUGAGCAACGAACCAAGUUACCCUAGGGAUAACAGCGCAAUCCACUUCAAGAGCUCCUAUCGACAAGUGGGUUUACGACCUCGAUGUUGGAUCAGGGUAUCCCAGUGGUGCAGCCGCUACUAAAGGUUCGUUUGUUCAACGAUUAAAACCCUACGUGAUCUGAGUUC
RNAcentral lists this ribosomal RNA (592 nucleotides) under Sclerophrys brauni (dead-leaf toad). RNAcentral's name for it is "partial 16S ribosomal RNA". It matches the Rfam family "Bacterial large subunit ribosomal RNA", at positions 1807 to 2612 of the family's 2925-position model. Lineage: Eukaryota; Metazoa; Chordata; Amphibia; Anura; Bufonidae. The record is from RNAcentral.